UUAGGAUAAUGAUGCUGUUAGCUUCUUGUUGAGAACCAGAGCCGUAGACUCUCUUCAAUGUUCAUAUUUAAUCAUGUUUGAUAACAAAAAAAAUUGUUUAUAGUGAAAACGAAUAUAAACAAAAUAAUUUAUUUGGUCUCACAAUUCAGUGAACUAUAUUCUUUUCAUUAUAAACAUUUUUCUUGAGACUAUUUAUAAAGCUGAGCUUGUUUGAAUUAUAAAAGGGCUCUAUAGAAUGUGAUCCUGAUUCCUGAACAAGUGAUUAAAUCUUUGCGAAUUUCUUGAAAUACAAACUAUGGACCCGACCAAUAAUAGAGAAGAAAUAUGAGAUCUACUGACAACAGUUAGAAAAGAAUCAUGAAAUUUGAUCCAAAAAAAAAAAAGAAAAGAAUCAUGAAUUUUUUAAUAGACAAAAAAAGUUGUAACAACUAGGGUCUAGUAACAAUCAGAUAAAGUUGUGGGCAGAACAUCACGAUUCACGAAUAAUUUCAUUUACCAAACACAGUAUUAAACUAACACAGUUUUCCUUUACAGAAAAAAAAAAAGAAAUCACAAAUGAGAUUUUAUGUUCUAUACAUUAAACAAUUUGAAAAUAACUAGAAAUGAGCUGAGAACUACAAAAGAGCUUUUCCUAUAUAAUAUCAGUAUAGAAUGAAUUACACCUUGGAUUUUGUUUUAUAUUAAGUUCGCAUUUCAGCAAGUAUUAAAUCGUAGUUAGAAUUCAAAUCAUAGUGAAUUCUCAUAAUCGUCAGUGUUUU
RNAcentral lists this long non-coding RNA (758 nucleotides) under Brassica rapa (field mustard). RNAcentral describes it as "long non-coding RNA (BRAP_LNC005216)". The record is from RNAcentral. Lineage: Eukaryota; Viridiplantae; Streptophyta; Magnoliopsida; Brassicales; Brassicaceae.